RNAcentral lists this ribosomal RNA (476 nucleotides) under uncultured organism. RNAcentral describes it as "partial 16S ribosomal RNA". It matches the Rfam family "Bacterial small subunit ribosomal RNA", at positions 332 to 799 of the family's 1533-position model. The record is from RNAcentral.
UACACUCCUACGGGAGGCAGCAGUGGGGAAUAUUGCACAAUGGGCGCAAGCCUGAUGCAGCCAUGCCGCGUGUAUGAAGAAGGCCUUCGGGUUGUAAAGUACUUUCAGCGGGGAGGAAGGCAAUACGGUUAAUAACCGUGUUGAUUGACGUUACCCGCAGAAGAAGCACCGGCUAACUCCGUGCCAGCAGCCGCGGUAAUACGGAGGGUGCAAGCGUUAAUCGGAAUUACUGGGCGUAAAGCGCACGCAGGCGGUCUGUCAAGUCGGAUGUGAAAUCCCCGGGCUCAACCUGGGAACUGCAUUCGAAACUGGCAGGCUUGAGUCUUGUAGAGGGGGGUAGAAUUCCAGGUGUAGCGGUGAAAUGCGUAGAGAUCUGGAGGAAUACCGGUGGCGAAGGCGGCCCCCUGGACAAAGACUGACGCUCAGGUGCGAAAGCGUGGGGAGCAAACAGGAUUAGAAACCCGGGUAGUCCCAUG